AAUGGUUGCACCUAUGGAAAACAAUGGGUGAAAAUGUCUCACCAGGGUGACAAUUAGAGCAUUAGCAAGUGCAACGGACAUGAACCAGGACCGAUUCUACUCCUGAAAAAGAAAUAUUGCUAUGUCCAUGCUGAGCAUUAACCAGUCCGCAUCAGCUUCCACAGAGAAUGAGUCUGAUACCAAUGCAUUCACUAAGGAAGUCAAUUUUUUUUAAUAAAGUGGACAAUUUAUAUAAAACAAAUCAACAAACACUGCUCCUUACGUGCAGAUGGUUUAGUUGUUAACAAUAAACUGAUAACUUGGUUUGAUAAUACUUGUUUAGUAAGGAGAGGUCCUAUUCAUGUGUCCAGGGACUUUCAUCCAUGGAGCACACCUCACACCUAGGAAGUCUCAGAGUUGACCCUGGUAUUUUUGCACACGCACACACGUGGACACACACCUCCACACACCAACACCCUCAUGGAAGUUCACCACAUACAGACGUACCUGAGGAGGUGAACGGCACUAGGAGAGCUUUCUUUUGCCUCUUCUUUUUCAGAAAUGGAGCCUGAGCUAAGAAAGAGGAGAUGGGAAAUGUUCUGGUUACAAAUGCUCAAGAAAAAAGAACGGAGAAUAAGUGGGAGGACAUAUUCGGACUACGAGGAUUCAGUUAUGAAUCGAAAACCACAAGUCUCUGUUUUUCCCCUCCGUGUGAAAGAAUAGGAAUCACUGUAAAAGAGAUCCAGAACAGGAAGACAGAGUGGGAAAACUGGACAGACGUGCACGGGGAUGAACUCUAAGCAAAACAAAAAUACUUCUGAGCUCAGUGGAAAAUCCUAGACAUUGCAUCUCAGGGAUACAUAUUGUGCACAUCCAUCUUAAGACAGCAGAACGCAAGCUUCAUCCUCACCUUCCUUGGCCAAAUCUCUAGGAACGAGAUAACAUUCAAGUAACAAGGAAAUGCCCCACAGACUCGAGCUCUCUCCCUGACCCAGAAGCUAUGACUAAUUCCCCAAAAUCAGACAACACGUAACACUGCAGAGGUAACCCUCACCCGGGACACAGAAGGGAAGUGACUGCCGUGGCUGACGCCUCAAGCAGGCUGAAGCUUAGCAAGAGCGCGGGGUGAGGAGGCCACAGCUUUCUUGCUUGCUUUUUAAAAAAUAUUUCAUUUAUUUAUUUAUGAAAGACACAGACUGAGAGGCAGAGACACAGGCAGAGGGAGAAGCAGGCUCCAUGCAGGGAGCCCAAUGUGGGACUCGAACCCAGGACCCAGGGUCACAACCUGGGCCCAAGGAAGCCGCUCAACCUCUGAGCCCCUGGGGGGCCCCAGGCCACAGCUCUCUAAAGCCUCCUACCUCGUACCACUGGCGUGACAUGUGCGAGGUAGAGGGUAAGUGAGUGGUGGGUCCUUUGCCUCAGCAGAUCCUCAAAGCCAAACGAGCCAAUGCAAAAAUUCUUUAUAAGCAGGUGUGAUACAAUGUUCACCCCAAGGGGCUGUGUUUAAGAGGAGAUUCGGAAACAUUUGAAGUGUAGAAGAGAUGCAAGUCCAACCCAGGGAUCACAAGGCAGAGAUUUAAAAAACUGACAGCACAUGCCUCCAUCAUGAAAAAAAAAAACAAAUAAAAAAAUCUGAUUCAUAGCA
Molecule: long non-coding RNA, 1624 nt
Filed under: Vulpes vulpes (red fox)
Lineage: Eukaryota; Metazoa; Chordata; Mammalia; Carnivora; Canidae
Description: lncRNA (ENSVVUG00000008224.1)
Source: RNAcentral